UGGGGAAUAUUGCACAAUGGGCGCAAGCCUGAUGCAGCCAUGCCGCGUGUAUGAAGAAGGCCUUCGGGUUGUAAAGUACUUUCAGCGGGGAGGAAGGCGAUAAGGUUAAUAACCUUGUCGAUUGACGUUACCCGCAGAAGAAGCACCGGCUAACUCCGUGCCAGCAGCCGCGGUAAUACGGAGGGUGCAAGCGUUAAUCGGAAUUACUGGGCGUAAAGCGCACGCAGGCGGUCUGUCAAGUCGGAUGUGAAAUCCCCGGGCACAACCUGGGAACUGCAUUCGAAACUGGCAGGCUAGAGUCUUGUAGAGGGGGGUAGAAUUCCAGGUGUAGCGGUGAAAUGCGUAGAGAUCUGGAGGAAUACCGGUGGCGAAGGCGGCCCCCUGGACAAAGACUGACGCUCAGGUGCGAAAGCGUGGGGAGCAAACA
Molecule: ribosomal RNA, 427 nt
Filed under: uncultured bacterium
Lineage: Bacteria
Description: partial 16S ribosomal RNA
Rfam family: Bacterial small subunit ribosomal RNA
Source: RNAcentral